UGUGGGGUGGUUAUGGGGGGAUAUGGGGUCAUAUGGGAGGUUAUGGGGGAUAUGGGGUGGUUAUGGGGUCCCUAUGUGUCCCUAUGUGUCCCUAUGUGUCUCUAUGUGUCUCUAUGUGUCCCUAUGUGUCCCUAUGGGUCCCUAUGUGUCCCUAUGGGUCUCUAUGUGUCUCUAUGGGUCUCUAUGGGUCCCUAUGUGUCCCUAUGGGUCCCUAUGUGUCUCUAUGGGUCUCUAUGUGUCUCUAUGGGUCCCUAUGUGUCCCUAUGUGUCUCUAUGGGUCCCUAUGUGUCUCUAUGUGUCUCUAUGUGUCCCUAUGUGUCCCUAUGGGGCCGUAACCCCCGUUUCUCCCCGUUCCAGCCCCACUGAAUCCCGUCUCACGGUGUCCGACAACUCGCUGCUCUGGAGCGCCCCCGUGCGGUACCGGGUGGGAGCCGCGGUCACGUGGCUGGAGGACUCCACCCCAUAUCUCAGCUUCACCCCCGGCCAGACCCACAACUCAACACUGAGGCACCAUUACCAGCCCCCGUUCCGAUCCCAUUUAUGCUCCCGUUUGUGGUUCCGGUUCGGUUCGGGGCUGUUCCAGCAUCACCCACAAGGGGGCGACAACGGGAUGCAGGGCACGACGGAGGUGGAGCUGCUGCCCCCCCCCCCCCCCAUUGCUCUUAAUGUACGUGGGGGGGCUGCGGCGGGGCGGGUGAUGCUGCUGCCCUAUGGGCGUCGCUGGGCGUGGCGCGAAGGUAAAUUUGCAUAAUUUGCAUAUUAAUGAGCUAAGGGGAUGGGGUGGGGGGUCACUAAUUAGGGUAAGGUUAAUUAGUCUGGAGGGGUAAAUUAAUUAAGGGGGUUAAUUAGAGCUUGUUAAUGGGCCGGGGGGGGGUGAUGCUGCUGCUCCUAUUGGGCGUCCUCCUGUCCAAGGUAAUUUGCAUAAUUGCAUAUUAAUGAGCUAAGGGGAUGGGGAUGGGGUUAAUUAACCAGGGGGGUUAUUAAAUGGGGAGUAAUUAAUUAAGGGUUUAAUUAGAGGAGGUCAGUUAAUUGGGAGGAUGGGCGAAGGGGCUGGGAUAGGGGGAUCACUCUAAUUAUCAGGGGAUAAUUAGGCAUAUUAAUUUGCUUAAUUAGCAUACUAAUGAGCUUACACAGGGGAUGGGGGGGCUUAAUUAAUAGGGGGGUUAAUAGUGGGGUGUCGCUUCGACUGGUAAUGUGUGAAUGUAAGGGAGUUAGAUUAGGAGCUUGUUAAUG
This 1233-nucleotide long non-coding RNA is filed under the name Coturnix japonica (Japanese quail). RNAcentral's name for it is "lncRNA (ENSCJPG00005005936.1)". Lineage: Eukaryota; Metazoa; Chordata; Aves; Galliformes; Phasianidae. The record is from RNAcentral.